This 85-nucleotide transfer RNA is filed under the name Felis catus (domestic cat). It matches the Rfam family "tRNA". Rfam says of the family: Transfer RNA (tRNA) molecules are approximately 80 nucleotides in length. Their secondary structure includes four short double-helical elements and three loops (D, anti-codon, and T loops). Further hydrogen bonds mediate the characteristic L-shaped molecular structure. tRNAs have two regions of fundamental functional importance: the anti-codon, which is responsible for specific mRNA codon recognition, and the 3' end, to which the tRNAs corresponding amino acid is attached (by aminoacyl-tRNA synthetases). tRNAs cope with the degeneracy of the genetic code in two manners: having more than one tRNA (with a specific anti-codon) for a particular amino acid; and 'wobble' base-pairing, i.e. permitting non-standard base-pairing at the 3rd anti-codon position. Lineage: Eukaryota; Metazoa; Chordata; Mammalia; Carnivora; Felidae. The record is from Rfam by way of RNAcentral.
GCCUGGGUGGCUCAGUCGGUUAAGUGUCUGACUUUGGCUCAGGUCAUGAUCUUGUGGUUCUUGGGUUCGAGUCCCACUUUGGGCU